GACGAGGUAAAAGUGGGAGAGGCGGGACAGGCUAUAGUCAUGGCAAUAUUCAAGGACGUGGCAAUUCUGUAGCGGCGUCUCAGCCACACAUACAUCCAAUAGGGACUACAAAGGCAUCUCUAGAGACGGGACAAUCAUGUAACCCGAGUCAAGGACCUGAUUGUGCAUAAAUACUAAAAUUAGUGGUGAUGGUAUAUGUUUUUUUACUUUGCAGUUUCUUGCAACAAUAAAAAGAGAGGAAGAGGAAAAUACAAAUCUAAAAGUAUAGAUGUAAAAACUAAGUGUGGUGGCAAAAUUAAAAUUAUGAUUCCAGAUGACAUUGAUAGAGCAGUAGGUUCUGGGGCUAGAGAUAUUGUUAAUUACUGUGGUUUGAUCAUGAGGAGCACUAUAUCGUUCUGAGAUGGGAAUUGGCAAAAGAUUAUUUUGAAACAUGGAGAAGAAAUGUGGUUGAAGAUCAAGGAUAAAUUUGAAGUUUCCAACGGGCUGCGAGAGCAUAGAUUUCAAGCCUUUGUGAUCAGCACUAUGCAAAGGCCUUUUAGAGUAUGGAAAGCUCGACUCAGCAUUCAGUAAUCUAAUUACAGUACUAAUGAAGAAAGAUUAUCUCAUCGACCUAAAGAUGUUGAGCUCGAGGACUGAAAAUACCUAAUACAAUAUUUUGGAAGUCUGGAGUUUAAGGCUAUAAGUGAGAGGAACAAAAAAAAUAGGGAAAAGCAAAUCACUAGGCAUGCUUGUGGUACAAGAUCUUUUGCAGAAGUAGAGG
Non-coding RNA from Nicotiana tabacum (common tobacco), 760 nucleotides. Lineage: Eukaryota; Viridiplantae; Streptophyta; Magnoliopsida; Solanales; Solanaceae. The record is from RefSeq and is a predicted model, not a curated record.